UCUUUCGGGGCAGGGUGAAAUUCCCAACCGGCAGUGAUUAAGCCUGCGACCUGCUUGUGAUGCACAAGUGGCUGAUUCAGUGAGAUUCUGAAGCCGACAGUAUAGUCUGGAUGGGAGAAAGA
RNAcentral lists this non-coding RNA (122 nucleotides) under Staphylococcus lugdunensis. RNAcentral describes it as "FMN riboswitch aptamer (RFN element)". It matches the Rfam family "FMN riboswitch aptamer (RFN element)". Rfam says of the family: The RFN element is a highly conserved domain that is found frequently in the 5'-untranslated regions of prokaryotic mRNAs that encode for flavin mononucleotide (FMN) biosynthesis and transport proteins. This element is a metabolite-dependent riboswitch that directly binds FMN in the absence of proteins. The record is from RNAcentral. Lineage: Bacteria; Bacillati; Bacillota; Bacilli; Caryophanales; Staphylococcaceae.